This 235-nucleotide long non-coding RNA is filed under the name Podarcis lilfordi (Lilford's wall lizard). The record is from RNAcentral. Lineage: Eukaryota; Metazoa; Chordata; Lepidosauria; Squamata; Lacertidae.
UCGAGAACACUAUCCAACCAUCUCGUCCUCUGUCGUCCCCUUCUCCUUGUGCCCUCCAUCUUUCCCAACAUCAGGGUCUUUUCCAGGGAGUCUUCUCUUCUCAUGAGGUGGCCAAAGUAUUGGAGCCUCAGCUUCAGGAUCUGUCCUUCCAGUGAGCACUCAGGGCUGAUUUCCUUCAGAAUGGAGAGGUUUGAUCUUCUUGCAGUCCAUGGGACUCUCAAGAGUCUCCUCCAGC